This 450-nucleotide ribosomal RNA is filed under the name uncultured bacterium. RNAcentral describes it as "partial 16S ribosomal RNA". It matches the Rfam family "Bacterial small subunit ribosomal RNA", at positions 354 to 796 of the family's 1533-position model. The record is from RNAcentral.
GUGGGGAAUUUUGGACAAUGGGCGCAAGCCUGAUCCAGCCAUUCCGCGUGCAGGAUGAAGGCCUUCGGGUUGUAAACUGCUUUUGUACGGAACGAAAAGCCUCUGGUUAAUACCCGGGGGUCAUGACGGUACCGUAAGAAUAAGCACCGGCUAACUACGUGCCAGCAGCCGCGGUAAUACGUAGGGUGCGAGCGUUAAUCGGAAUUACUGGGCGUAAAGCGUGCGCAGGCGGUGAUGUAAGCCAGUUGUGAAAUCCCCGGGCUCAACAUGGGAACUGCAUCUGUGACUGCAUUGCUGGAGGGCGGCAGAGGGGGAUGGAAUUCCGCGUGUAGCAGUGAAAUGCGUAGAUAUGCGGAGGAACACCGAUGGCGAAGGCAAUCCCCUGGGCCUGCACUGACGCUCAUGCACGAAAGCGUGGGGAGCAAACAGGAUUAGAAACCCGGGUAGUCC